Molecule: non-coding RNA, 1116 nt
Organism: Notechis scutatus (mainland tiger snake)
Lineage: Eukaryota; Metazoa; Chordata; Lepidosauria; Squamata; Elapidae
Source: RefSeq, a predicted model, not a curated record
AAAGUUCCUAAUGAUACAAUAUACUUUGAUGUCCCAAAAGUACUUUUUCAAGAGGCAACUGUCUGGUUUUUCUUUGAAGAUGUUUCGCAGAAAGUCCAGUUGCCUCUUUAAAAAAUACUUUUGGGACAACCAGGACCUGGAUGACUGAGAAUCUCUGUUUAAUAUCCUUUCAAAAUCUGCUCUCCAAAAGAACCAUAGAGUUGUUUGGGAAAUCUUUGUUGUUUUUGUUGGCAAAAUUCCUAAUAUGGUGCUAAUAUCCUGGGAAAUAGCAUUUUUUAAAAAAGACACUGUAUUAUUAAUGCUCCAGAGAAGAAAACUUGCUAUUUGGACAUUCAGGAUACAGCUCAGGGAGACACAAAACAAAACCCAACCAGAGACUUAUUUUUACAAUUCUAAAACCAUAUAGGUUUAAACUGAUGUCUUCAAACAGUCAGACAACAAACUUUCACAUUUUAACAUAAAAAGAAUUUUGAAUACAUCAAAAAUCUGACAUCAAGCAGGACUAUCACUUGGUUAAGUCCAUUUGACUGAUUUUUUUUUCAUUUGUUUGUAUGCUUUUUACUGCACAGGAACAACAUUUGAAGAAUCAGGACAGGUGUAAGAAAGUAUACUAGCUUGGAAAUGUGCUUGACGGACUCCCACAAAACCUGAAGACUGCAAAAUGAUCAGCUGAGGUAGGCAGCACCAAGAGAAAAUAGAAUGAGAUUCUUUUAGAGUCAUAAGAAAAGACUUGAAAUCUGAGCAGAGCACCUCUCUUUACUUCCAGUAACAAGAAAAGACUAGGAGCAACGUGGCACCUUGCAGGCUUGCUGGAUGAGAGUUUUCAAAGGGUGACUGAAAAAGGAAGGGCUAAAACUUCUGGGGCUAGUUAUGGCGCGCCUUUCCCCUCAGAGGAGCAACAGUGGCUUACCUGGGAAUGAAGCCCGCCUCCUCCCCGAGCCGAAGCUCAAAUUCCUGCCAGGCCUGGCUGGGACCCGCCGCCGCCAUCCCGGCGAAAGCACCGAAAGCGUGGCUCUCUUCCCCGGAGAGCUCCCAGCAGUUGUUCCGCGGUUGAGCGACACCGCGAAACCCCCGAACGAACUCGUGGAAGGUGAUGGCGCCGUCUCGGUCGGUGUC